Halichondria panicea is the source of this 589-nucleotide long non-coding RNA. RefSeq lists it as uncharacterized. The transcript has 3 exons. The record is from RefSeq and is a predicted model, not a curated record. NCBI's taxonomy places the organism in Eukaryota, Metazoa, Porifera, Demospongiae, Suberitida, Halichondriidae.
CGAAUGUAUUGCGGUCAUGUGAUGUGAUGUGUGAUUUGUGCUUGUGGUGUGCGAAGUGCAGUGUGACAUGUGAUGUGAGGAACAAGCUAGCUCAAGGAAGCCUGAGUUUAUAGACCUCUAAAGCUAGCUGAGAUGUCAUGUCAAGUCAUAAAGAAUGAAAUUCCCAAACCAAUGACCAACAGACACACUAUUCCAUUUAUAUAAGGUCUCCGGCUGUCUUUCAUGGUACAACAUGCAUGACUGUACAACAUGCUAGCAGACAGCAGUCCCAAAGCAGGAUGCGUAUGCAUGCAUGUUGAGGAGCAUGACACUAUCUACUUCCCCCCUCCUGUUCAUAAGAGUGUUGCAAAGCCAGGAAGAAAAAAUCCUGUUUCGAGGCAAAAUAGAGCUACCUGUUUAUGUAUAUAUACUGCUUCUUUUAUCAUCAUGUGUGCAGUUGAAAUAAUUAUGGUUUUGUUGUAAUAAUACUAUAGACAGAUUUUCAUUCCUUCUCCUAACCUCUGAAUAGAUAAAGUAGCUUCCUUAAUAAUUAUUAUUAUUGUGACUGUAUGCAUCAAUAUAACUUAUUUCAGUGUGUGAUAAUAAUUUA